UCUCCUAUAGCUCAGUUGGUAGAGCGUGUGGCUGUUAACCAUAAGGUCGCUGGUUCAAACCCAGCUGGGAGAG
This is a transfer RNA of Albugo candida, 73 nucleotides long. It matches the Rfam family "tRNA". Rfam says of the family: Transfer RNA (tRNA) molecules are approximately 80 nucleotides in length. Their secondary structure includes four short double-helical elements and three loops (D, anti-codon, and T loops). NCBI's taxonomy places the organism in Eukaryota, Oomycota, Peronosporomycetes, Albuginales, Albuginaceae. The record is from Rfam.